GCCAAUGUAAGCAGCAUUGGCAAUCAGUUCAUCAUGGUACUUUCCCUUAAAGCAAGACAUAAUUGUUCUUUGUUUUGAGAAAGAGGGAAGAAAGAAAUGAAAAGAUUACUGAAUAUAAAAGGGAAGAGAAAGCUGAGUACAUGAGAAAGAGGGUACGGUCACUAGGAAACCUCUGCAACGUUUAUGGAGGAUUUGCCAAUUUGUGGUCGUGUACGUGCCAUUUGUGCUAUAGGACUUUUUCUUCGGAGAAUA
RNAcentral lists this unclassified non-coding RNA (252 nucleotides) under Hevea brasiliensis (rubber tree). The record is from RNAcentral. Lineage: Eukaryota; Viridiplantae; Streptophyta; Magnoliopsida; Malpighiales; Euphorbiaceae.